Molecule: ribosomal RNA, 253 nt
Filed under: uncultured bacterium
Lineage: Bacteria
Description: partial 16S ribosomal RNA
Rfam family: Bacterial small subunit ribosomal RNA
Source: RNAcentral
UACGUAGGGUGCAAGCGUUAAUCGGAAUUACUGGGCGUAAAGCGUGCGCAGGCGGUUAUGUAAGACAGGGGUGAAAUCCCCGGGCUUAACCUGGGAACCGCAUUUGUGACUGCAUAGCUAGAGUACGGCAGAGGGGGAUGGAAUUCCGCGUGUAGCAGUGAAAUGCGUAGAUAUGCGGAGGAACACCGAUGGCGAAGGCAAUCCCCUGGGCCUGUACUGACGCUGAGGUACGAAAGCGUGGGGAGCAAACAGG